CUGGCUCAGGAUGAACGCUGGCGGCGUGCUUAAC
This 34-nucleotide ribosomal RNA is filed under the name Lachnobacterium bovis. Its description in RNAcentral is "16S rRNA. Bacterial SSU". The record is from RNAcentral. Lineage: Bacteria; Bacillati; Bacillota; Clostridia; Lachnospirales; Lachnospiraceae.